UACGAAGGGGGCUAGCGUUGUUCGGAUUUACUGGGCGUAAAGCGCACGUAGGCGGAUCUUUAAGUCAGAGGUGAAAUCCCAAGGCUCAACCUUGGAACUGCCUUUGAUACUGGGGAUCUCGAGUCCGGGAGAGGUGAGUGGAACUGCGAGUGUAGAGGUGAAAUUCGUAGAUAUUCGCAAGAACACCAGUGGCGAAGGCGGCUCACUGGCCCGGAACUGACGCUGAGGUGCGAAAGCGUGGGGAGCGAACAGG
This 253-nucleotide ribosomal RNA is filed under the name uncultured bacterium. Its description in RNAcentral is "partial 16S ribosomal RNA". It matches the Rfam family "Bacterial small subunit ribosomal RNA", at positions 524 to 776 of the family's 1533-position model. The record is from RNAcentral.